This 238-nucleotide long non-coding RNA is filed under the name Salvia miltiorrhiza (redroot sage). RNAcentral's name for it is "long non-coding RNA (SMIL_LNC009055)". The record is from RNAcentral. Lineage: Eukaryota; Viridiplantae; Streptophyta; Magnoliopsida; Lamiales; Lamiaceae.
UUUCUUUUUAAAGAUGCACUUGUUUGGAAUAAGGAUUUUGAUAAUAACUGAUCAAAAUAUUCUAUUAGAAUAUGAUAUAGAAGAUAUUAUCUGGAUUAUUUAUGUUUUAGAGGAGGUAUGAUGUGGAAUUUAAUUUAAUAAUAAUUGAUGAAGUGGAUUAUAUAAACGGAAAAGUUAAUGAAUUAAAUGGAUCCGUUAAAAAAUGAUUUAAUGAUAUAAAAUAUAGAAGUAUAAGGAU